This 71-nucleotide transfer RNA is filed under the name Loxodonta africana (African savanna elephant). It matches the Rfam family "tRNA". Rfam says of the family: Transfer RNA (tRNA) molecules are approximately 80 nucleotides in length. Their secondary structure includes four short double-helical elements and three loops (D, anti-codon, and T loops). The record is from Rfam by way of RNAcentral. Lineage: Eukaryota; Metazoa; Chordata; Mammalia; Proboscidea; Elephantidae.
ACAUUGGCGGUUCAGUGGUAGAAUUCCUGCCUUCUAUGCAGAAGACCCAGGUUCAGUUCCCAGCCAGCGCA